GACGAACGCUGGCGGCGUGCCUAAUACAUGCAAGUAGAACGCUGAAGCGAGGAGCUUGCUCUUCUUGGAUGAGUUGCGAACGGGUGAGUAACGCGUAGGUAACCUGCCUUGUAGAGGGGGAUAACUAUUGGAAACGAUAGCUAAUACCGCAUAACAAUGGAUGACACAUGUCAUUUAUUUGAAAGGGGCAAUUGCUCCACUACAUGAUGGACCUGCGUUGUAUUAGCUAGUAGGUGAGGUAAUGGCUCAACUAGGCGACGAUACAUAGCCGACCUGAGAGGGUGAUCGGCCACACUGGGACUGAGACACGGCCCAGACUCCUACGGGAGGCAGCAGUAGGGAAUCUUCGGCAAUGGGGGCAACCCUGACCGAGCAACGCCGCGUGAGUGAAGAAGGUUUUCGGAUCGUAAAGCUCUGUUGUAAGUCAAGAACGGUUGUGGGAGUGGAAAGUUCACACUGUGACGGUAGCUUACCAGAAAGAGACGGCUAACUACGUG
This 497-nucleotide ribosomal RNA is filed under the name uncultured bacterium. RNAcentral's name for it is "partial 16S ribosomal RNA". It matches the Rfam family "Bacterial small subunit ribosomal RNA", at positions 28 to 507 of the family's 1533-position model. The record is from RNAcentral.